This 497-nucleotide ribosomal RNA is filed under the name uncultured bacterium. RNAcentral describes it as "partial 16S ribosomal RNA". It matches the Rfam family "Bacterial small subunit ribosomal RNA", at positions 28 to 507 of the family's 1533-position model. The record is from RNAcentral.
GAUGAACGCUGGCGGCGUGCCUAAUACAUGCAAGUCGAGCGAACAGACGAGGAGCUUGCUCCUCUGACGUUAGCGGCGGACGGGUGAGUAACACGUGGAUAACCUACCUAUAAGACUGGGAUAACUUCGGGAAACCGGAGCUAAUACCGGAUAAUAUAUUGAACCGCAUGGUUCAAUAGUGAAAGACGGUUUUGCUGUCACUUAUAGAUGGAUCCGCGCCGCAUUAGCUAGUUGGUAAGGUAACGGCUUACCAAGGCAACGAUGCGUAGCCGACCUGAGAGGGCGAUCGGCCACACUGGAACUGAGACACGGUCCAGACUCCUACGGGAGGCAGCAGUAGGGAAUCUUCCGCAAUGGGCGAAAGCCUGACGGAGCCACGCCGCGUGAGUGAUGAAGGUCUUCGGAUCGUAAAACUCUGUUAUUAGGGAAGAACAAAUGUGUAAGUAACUAUGCACGUCUUGACGGUACCUAAUCAGAAAGCCACGGCUAACUACGUG